UGGGGAAUCUUGGACAAUGGGCGCAAGCCUGAUCCAGCCAUGCCGCGUGAGUGAAGAAGGCCUUAGGGUUGUAAAGCUCUUUUGCCAGGGACGAUAAUGACGGUACCUGGAGAAUAAGCCCCGGCAAACUUCGUGCCAGCAGCCGCGGUAAUACGAAGGGGGCUAGCGUUGUUCGGAUUUACUGGGCGUAAAGCGCACGUAGGCGGAUUGUUAAGUCAGGGGUGAAAUCCCGGAGCUCAACUCCGGAACUGCCUUUGAUACUGGCAAUCUUGAGGCUGGAAGAGGUUAGUGGAAUUCCCAGUGUAGAGGUGAAAUUCGUAGAUAUUGGGAAGAACACCAGUGGCGAAGGCGGCUAACUGGUCCAGAUCUGACGCUGAGGUGCGAAAGCGUGGGGAGCAAACAG
RNAcentral lists this ribosomal RNA (403 nucleotides) under uncultured bacterium. RNAcentral describes it as "bacterial SSU rRNA". It matches the Rfam family "Bacterial small subunit ribosomal RNA", at positions 355 to 775 of the family's 1533-position model. The record is from RNAcentral.